AUGUCCUUUCCUAAGCAUGACAGGCAAAAUAGCAAGUUGAAUUAUAGUAUAAUGCAAUCUUAUUAUCUUUUUCACCUUCUGCUAUCCCUAUUUGGGGCAAAGGCGAAAAAAGAAAAUAAGACCUCCCAACAUUGCCGUGCUUCCUCAUGUAGUUGUCCAUUAUUCACAAUCUCACUUGUGGGUCGGACACAUGACCUUGUUUUUAUGUUUUUGGAUUUAUGGGUAGGAAAAUGA
Molecule: non-coding RNA, 234 nt
Organism: Vicia faba (fava bean)
Lineage: Eukaryota; Viridiplantae; Streptophyta; Magnoliopsida; Fabales; Fabaceae
Source: the annotation of a GenBank genome assembly